AAACUUGCAUUCCUAGUAGCAUAUGGAACUGUUGUAGGAGCAUCCAGUCAAGCAUAUUGUUUUUUACUCUAGGCAAAAAGGAAUAGGCAUUAGGUCUAUUAACUGGUGUGAACGUUUUAGUGUUGCAAUACAUAUAGAUACCUGUCAAAUAUAUACAUGCGUGAAAGGUGUAGCAUUUGCUACAUGACAACAGACAAAAAAGAGAAGUUACAUGUUUAAAUUUCACAAACUG
This 232-nucleotide unclassified non-coding RNA is filed under the name Hevea brasiliensis (rubber tree). Lineage: Eukaryota; Viridiplantae; Streptophyta; Magnoliopsida; Malpighiales; Euphorbiaceae. The record is from RNAcentral.